Non-coding RNA from Drosophila erecta, 59 nucleotides. NCBI's taxonomy places the organism in Eukaryota, Metazoa, Arthropoda, Insecta, Diptera, Drosophilidae. The record is from Rfam.
UGAUAAUGGCCAAAAAUUGGAGACUGACACAUGUUUUUGUACAUAUAGUAGUUAAGAUC